AGUUCGGACUGUAGUCUGCAACCCGACUACACGAAGCCGGAAUCGCUAGUAAUCGCGAAUCAGAAUGUCGCGGUGAAUACGUUCCCGGGUCCUGUACACACCGCCCGUCACACCAUGGGAGUCGGAAAUGCCCGAAGUCUGUGACCCAACCUUAGGGAGGGAGCAGCCGAAGGCAGGUCGGAUGACUGGGGUGAAGUCGUAACAAGGUAGC
This 211-nucleotide ribosomal RNA is filed under the name uncultured bacterium. RNAcentral describes it as "partial 16S ribosomal RNA". It matches the Rfam family "Bacterial small subunit ribosomal RNA", at positions 1290 to 1500 of the family's 1533-position model. The record is from RNAcentral.